This 482-nucleotide ribosomal RNA is filed under the name uncultured bacterium. RNAcentral's name for it is "partial 16S ribosomal RNA". It matches the Rfam family "Bacterial small subunit ribosomal RNA", at positions 30 to 507 of the family's 1533-position model. The record is from RNAcentral.
AUUGAACGCUGGCGGCAUGCCUUACACAUGCAAGUCGAACGGUAACGGGCCUUCGGGUGCCGACGAGUGGCGAACGGGUGAGUAAUACAUCGGAACGUUCCCGAUCGUGGGGGAUAACGAGGCGAAAGCUUUGCUAAUACCGCAUACGAUCUACGGAUGAAAGCAGGGGACCGCAAGGCCUUGCGCGGACGGAGCGGCCGAUGGCAGACUAGGUAGUUGGUGGGAUAAAAGCUUACCAAGCCGACGAUCUGUAGCUGGUCUGAGAGGAUGAUCAGCCACACUGGGACUGAGACACGGCCCAGACUCCUACGGGAGGCAGCAGUGGGGAAUUUUGGACAAUGGGCGCAAGCCUGAUCCAGCCAUGCCGCGUGCAGGAUGAAGGCCUUCGGGUUGUAAACUGCUUUUGUACGGAACGAAAAGCCUUCUUUUAAUACAGGAGGGUCAUGACGGUACCGUAAGAAUAAGCACCGGCUAACUACGUG